Molecule: non-coding RNA, 107 nt
Organism: Plectosphaerella cucumerina
Lineage: Eukaryota; Fungi; Ascomycota; Sordariomycetes; Glomerellales; Plectosphaerellaceae
Source: the annotation of a GenBank genome assembly
GGUGAGUUGGCCGAGUGGUUAUGGCGUUGGUCUUAAGAGUUGGUUUUGCCUAUAUCUCUUCUCACCAUUGUCGCGAGACGUCGUGGGUUCAAACCCCACACUCACCA